GCUGGGCAUGGUAGAGCACACCUGUAAUCCCAGCUGCUCAUGAGGCUGAGGCAGGGGGAUCAUGUGUUCAAAGCCAGUUUCAGCAAAAGCAAGGUGCUAAGAAACUCAGUGAGACCCUGUCUCUA
Molecule: small RNA, 125 nt
Filed under: Marmota monax (woodchuck)
Lineage: Eukaryota; Metazoa; Chordata; Mammalia; Rodentia; Sciuridae
Source: RNAcentral